RNAcentral lists this long non-coding RNA (701 nucleotides) under Rattus norvegicus (Norway rat). RNAcentral describes it as "long non-coding RNA NONRATT027638". Lineage: Eukaryota; Metazoa; Chordata; Mammalia; Rodentia; Muridae. The record is from RNAcentral.
CUCCCCUUCUAAUCUUGCCUCAGCUCAUUGGCUAAGGCUUCAAAAAUAAAAAUUGACAGGUAAAUGUCUACACAUUGCACAAAAGAUUUCCAAAAAUUUCCUUCACAUGUUGUCUCUGUGAGUUUGAGGCCAACCUGGACUACACAGUGAAUUCCAAGAUAGCCAGGGCUAUACAGGGAAACCCUGUCUUAAAAAACUAGGGAGGUUGGGGGGUGGAAGGAAAACCAAAAACAAAUAUGUAAAUUAAAUAAAAAAUAUAAACUUUUGUUUUUUUUACACAAUAAUUUAAACAUUAACUAAUGAAAAAAUUCUUCCUCUAAGGCCCUCCUUUUUCUGCCGCUCUUCCCAGCAAGGUGAUGGCUGAUAACAGCAGUGAUGAGUACGAGGAGGACAACAAGGAGAAGAAGAAGCCCUCACAGCUGACCCCUCAGCAAGGCUUCAGUGAGAAUGAUGACGACGAUGACGAUGACUCCUCUGAGACCGACUCUGAUGACGAUGACGACGACGAGGAGCAUGGAGCACCCCUGGAAGGGGCCUAUGAUCCUGCGGACUAUGAGCAUCUGCCAGUCUCGGCUGAGAUCAAGGAGCUCUUUGAGUACAUUAGCCGGUACACACCUCAGUUGAUUGAUCUGGACCACAAACUGAAACCUUUCAUUCCUGAUUUUAUCCCAGCUGUUGGGGAUAUCGAUGCAUUUUUAAAG